RNAcentral lists this ribosomal RNA (253 nucleotides) under uncultured bacterium. RNAcentral describes it as "partial 16S ribosomal RNA". It matches the Rfam family "Bacterial small subunit ribosomal RNA", at positions 524 to 776 of the family's 1533-position model. The record is from RNAcentral.
UACAGAGACUGCAAGCGUUAUUCGGAUUCACUGGGCGUAAAGGGUGCGCAGGCGGCCAAGUGUGUUAGGCGUGAAAGCCUGGGGCUUAACCCCAGAAUUGCACCUAAAACUACAUGGCUAGAGCAUUGGAGAGGGUAGCGGAAUUCUCGGUGUAGCGGUGAAAUGCGUAGAUAUCGAGAGGAACAUCAGUGGCGAAGGCGGCUGCCUGGCCCAAUACUGACACUCAGGUGCGACAGCGUGGGGAGCAAACAGG